UGUGCGAUAAGGAAUCAAUUUAUAGGCAGUUUUUUGCAUAAGUCUAUUUUGUAUUAAAAUUCACAGCCUGAUUGAAAAUAUAGUAUUCAAUGAGCUUUUUUUCCUAUUUUUAACUUUUGGUAAGAAACAAUUGGUUGAAAUAUAUUGAUUUAAAAAUAAGAAUUAAAUGUACAAUUCUGCCUUUCGGAAAUGGUAUAAUUUAUAACUAAAAUUGCUCCUCCCGCCUAAAGAUAGGCCCCUCUCCCAUAGUAAAAAAUUGUUGUAUUGAACUCCUCUACAAAAACCGGUUAUUAAAUCCGUGCACCCAAGUUAUCCUACUAUGUGCCAAAAUAACAUUUUUGUUCGGUGCCUAAACGUUCGAAUUUCUGCAUCCGGGAUUAAAUUAAAUCAUAAAAAAUACCUCUUUUGAUUUGGAAAUAAGUAUUAUUUUAAAAUAUAUUUUUAAAAAAGCAUGUUGUUUUGAAAACAUUGAUGUCAAAGUUGGUUAAAUGACGAAAAAAAAUGGAAUUUUUGAACUUUGUCAGCUUAUAAAUUCUAGGUGGUUUAUUCAAACUAGGCUGCAAUAAGUCGAUCGAUCAUCAACCCUCAGAUUGUUCGUGUCAAGGCGCACCACGCACGGCUACGGGCACUACAUCAGUAUCAGUAACUAUACAACAAGAAAGGACUCUUGCGAUCACGAAGUACCAUCGUGAGCCAUUAAAGAUGCUCAAUUUAAUGGUAAUAAUUGGGAAAAAAGACAUUCUCACAAUGCAAAUGAUGUUUUCGAGAGCGAUUUUAUAUUCGGUUGUAAAUGGGAUUAAAUUUUUGUGUUGGAUUCAACUACUCCACCCAAAUCAAAGGAAACGUGCUCUUGUUUGAACAAUCUGCUAAACAGGAGGAUUAUGUCAUCAAAUUUGACAUCAUCUCAGACUUACCAGCUUCUAGGUAUAUUGUAUUGUGAUAUCAGCAAUCUAUUACUAUAAGGUCGAGUUUUCAAAAACAAAAUGUAUUCUACGUAUAAGAAACUACAUUGAUAUAAAUUGACUAAAAAAAGGGUUAAGAAUAGAAUAGUCUAUUUUUUCAAUGUCGAAAUUUAUAAAAAUUGUUUGAAACAAUGGGAAAAACUGAAAUAAUUGUUGCAUUUCAAUAUGAAAAUAUAUAAUUUGAGCUUUAGUUUUCAGUGCAAUCAAUGUUAACAGCCUUUGAUACUGCGACCAAUGAUAAUAAUUUUUGCACU
Long non-coding RNA from Episyrphus balteatus (marmalade hoverfly), 1216 nucleotides. RefSeq lists it as uncharacterized. NCBI's taxonomy places the organism in Eukaryota, Metazoa, Arthropoda, Insecta, Diptera, Syrphidae. The record is from RefSeq and is a predicted model, not a curated record. The transcript is spliced from 3 exons.